RNAcentral lists this long non-coding RNA (247 nucleotides) under Setaria italica (foxtail millet). RNAcentral describes it as "long non-coding RNA (SITA_LNC005132)". Lineage: Eukaryota; Viridiplantae; Streptophyta; Magnoliopsida; Poales; Poaceae. The record is from RNAcentral.
GCUAGACUUAUGGAGGUGAUUAAUAAAUGGGAGCUUUCGAGGCCCCAGAAAUUAGAGCCACACUGCCAGUUAGAUCGCUGCCGGCCUAAGCACAUGGUUGGAACUUAAAUUUGUUGUUCAUGGUGAUUAAUAAAAUACUUAUUGUAUAUCUAGACAUAAUAUAUAUUUAGGUACAUAGCAAAAAAUUAUAUAUUUAGAAAAGUUAAAACGACCUACAUUUUUAAAAUGGAUGGCAUCCUUACUCCCG